CAGCAGCCACGGUAAUACGUAGGGUGCAAGCGUUAAUCGGAAUUACUGGGCGUAAAGCGUGCGCAGGCGGUUAUAUAAGUCAGACGUGAAAUCCCCGGGCUCAACCUGGGAACUGCAUUUGAGACUGUAUGGCUAGAGUGUGUCAGAGGGGGGUAGAAUUCCACGUGUAGCAGUGAAAUGCGUAGAUAUGUGGAGGAAUACCGAUGGCGAAGGCAGCCCCCUGGGAUAACACUGACGCUCAUGCACGAAAGCGUGGGGAGCAAACAGGAUUAGAUACCCCUGUAGUCCCUGUCUCUUAUAC
RNAcentral lists this ribosomal RNA (301 nucleotides) under uncultured bacterium. RNAcentral describes it as "partial 16S ribosomal RNA". It matches the Rfam family "Bacterial small subunit ribosomal RNA", at positions 509 to 807 of the family's 1533-position model. The record is from RNAcentral.